Molecule: ribosomal RNA, 458 nt
Filed under: uncultured bacterium
Lineage: Bacteria
Description: bacterial SSU rRNA
Rfam family: Bacterial small subunit ribosomal RNA
Source: RNAcentral
GCACAAGCGGUGGAGCAUGUGGUUCAAUUCGACGCAACGCGAAGAACCUUACCUGGGCUCGAAGCGCAGUGGACCGGGGUAGAAAUAUCCCUUCCCCUUAAAAGGCUGCUGCGGAGGUGCUGCAUGGCUGUCGUCAGCUCGUGUCGUGAGAUGUUGGGUUAAGUCCCGCAACGAGCGCAACCCUUAUCCCUAGUUGCCAUCGGGUCAAGCCGGGCACUCUAGUGAAACUGCCUGGGAUAACCAGGAGGAAGGUGGGGAUGACGUCAAGUCCUCAUGGCCUUUAUGUCCAGGGCUACACACGUGCUACAAUGGUCGGUACAAACCGUCGCAAACCCGCGAGGGGGAGCUAAUCGGAAAAAGCCGACCUCAGUUCGGAUUGGAGUCUGCAACUCGACUCCAUGAAGCUGGAAUCGCUAGUAAUCGCGGAUCAGAACGCCGCGGUGAAUACGUUCCCGGGC